CUAAGUGGCUCAGCAGACAUGUGUCUGUGGGUACAGAUCUGCAAGAAUGGGGGUGACCAUAGUCCAUCAGAAAGAAUCUGAAAGCUGGGAUUCUCAGAUGCAGGCCAUGGUGCUGGGCCGCGGGAACCCAGCAGUGCAAACUGCCGGCCCCUCUCCUGCAGCCUCUGUUGGAGCUGUCCCAGAAAAGCAGGGUGGGCAAUGCCAUUUCCACAGCCGUGCGGGGCUCUGGUAAGUGUCACAGCUGUCACGGCAGACAGAAUCCCCAUGGUCUGUGCGCCUCCGCGGGUCCGCAGGAAAACAUUCCUCGCAUUCCUGACGCAGGGUCCUAUCUGCAGGCCUUGGACUCGGCCCUCGGGCUCUGUCCCCCGGCAAGUGGCCUAGGCCACGGCCACCGCUCCUUCCCAGCCGGCCCUGCGGGAGAGGGAGCACAGGGAGUGACCGCGGCCGGCCGGCGGAGGACGAGGAAGCAGGCGUGCGGAUGCUUGGCCGCCCGGGCCACCGGAGCACCAGCUGCAACGUGUUGCCCCGGAGGAGGCUCGGGCUUCUGGCACUUUCUGACAAGAGCAUUUUAUAGGGUUUGGGCUAUGAUUUGAUACUGGACGUUGGGGACUCCGAUUUUAUGUUUCCAAGGGUGACAGCAGCAGCUGGCACCUUUAAGAAAUGCGUGUGUCCCUUCUUCCCAAGGGCUCCACAAUAAGAGCUAUUUAUGUCGAGCACCUUAUAAGGGAAGGAUUUAGCCUGCAUGUCAAUACAACAUAUAAUACUUUUUAUAUUUAGGUAGGAGCAAAAUCCAUUAUUAACCAUACCUGUGAUUUCGGCUUGAACUAUGAGAUACACAGGGCUUUACCGCAUGCAGAGGAAGCCGUGCCUGCUUCAAUUUACAAGUUCGUGCAGGGACGUUUUCCCGUGUUACUUCUGUAUAACAAGCAGACACCAGUGCCUCAUGUACCCAGGUCCUUCCCCUGGCAAGUGGACGCUAUCUGCUGUUUGAUCUGAUUUCUGUGACUUUCGAGCGAGCCGUAAGAAGCACCCCGGCCGCUCUAAACUGGUGCUGUCUUUAUUUUUCCAAGAACGGUUUUGGUUCUGGUGAGUAACAGACUGGCCAGGACUUUGUGAUAAUGUGGCCGAUUCCUGGCUCACUCGGAGAGAAGCCACAGCAGCGGGUGGUGGAGGAGCUCAGCCCAGCCAGGGCUCCCUGUGAUACCACGCCAGUGUCCCUGGAGGAGCCAGCCCACCACCAGCUGGACCCUGCUGCUCGCCACACUGGGCGCUCGGAGUCAGCCUGCGCGGUGUCCUGCAAGCUGUGAGAUCAGCGCCCAGCCGGUUGCUUCUUAUCUCCUUGGCUCAGAC
RNAcentral lists this long non-coding RNA (1350 nucleotides) under Cavia porcellus (domestic guinea pig). RNAcentral describes it as "lncRNA (ENSCPOG00000034145.1)". Lineage: Eukaryota; Metazoa; Chordata; Mammalia; Rodentia; Caviidae. The record is from RNAcentral.